Molecule: ribosomal RNA, 443 nt
Filed under: uncultured bacterium
Lineage: Bacteria
Description: partial 16S ribosomal RNA
Rfam family: Bacterial small subunit ribosomal RNA
Source: RNAcentral
CCUACGGGAGGCUGCAGUGGGGAAUAUUGGGCAAUGGGCGCAAGCCUGACCCCGCAACGCCGCGUGAAGGAAGAAGGCUUUCGGGUUGUAAACUUCUUUUCUCAGGGACGAAGCAAGUGACGGUACCUUAGGAAUAAGCCACUGAUAACUAAGUGCCAGCAGCCGCGGUAAUACGUAGGUGGCAAGCGUUCUCCGGAUUUACUGGGUGUAAAGGGCGUGUAGGCGGGACUGCAAGUCAGCUGUGAAAACCAUGGGCUCAACCUAUGGACUGCAUUUGAAACUGUAGUUCUUGAGUACUGGAGAGGCAGACGGAAUGCCUGGUGUAGCGGUGAAAUGCGUAGAUAUUAGGAGGAACACCAGUGGCGAAGGCAGUCUGCUGGAGAGCAACUGACGCUGAGGCGCGAAAGCGUGGGGAGCAAACAGGAUUAGAUACCCGGGUAGUC